This is a ribosomal RNA of Pan paniscus (pygmy chimpanzee), 112 nucleotides long. The record is from Ensembl. NCBI's taxonomy places the organism in Eukaryota, Metazoa, Chordata, Mammalia, Primates, Hominidae.
GUCUACGGCCAUACCACCCUGAACGCGCCCGAUCUCGUCUGAUCUCGGAAGCUAAGCAGGGUCAGGCCUGGUUAGUACUUGGAUGGGAGAUAAGAAAGCUGACGCCAAGAGA